UAAGACGAAGGGGGCGAGCGUUGUUCGGAAUCACUGGGCGUAAAGGGCGCGUAGGCGGCGCAGUCAGUCAGGCGUGAAAGCCCCGAGCUCAACUUGGGAAUAGCGCUUGAUACUAUUGUGCUAGAGAGCGGGAGAGGAUGGUGGAAUUCCCAGUGUAGAGGUGAAAUUCGUAGAUAUUGGGAAGAACACCGGUGGCGAAGGCGGCCAUCUGGACCGUUUCUGACGCUGAGGCGCGAAAGCGUGGGGAGCAAACAGGAUUAGAUACCCUGGUAGUCCACGCCGUAAACGAUGAGUGCUGGACGUUGGUGGGCUUGCCCGUCAGUGUCGUAGCUAACGCGAUAAGCACUCCGCCUGGGAAGUACGGCCGCAAGGUUA
This 375-nucleotide ribosomal RNA is filed under the name uncultured bacterium. RNAcentral describes it as "bacterial SSU rRNA". It matches the Rfam family "Bacterial small subunit ribosomal RNA", at positions 521 to 896 of the family's 1533-position model. The record is from RNAcentral.